This 433-nucleotide ribosomal RNA is filed under the name uncultured bacterium. Its description in RNAcentral is "partial 16S ribosomal RNA". It matches the Rfam family "Bacterial small subunit ribosomal RNA", at positions 29 to 507 of the family's 1533-position model. The record is from RNAcentral.
AGCGAACGCUGGCGGCAGGCCUAACACAUGCAAGUCGAACGAACUCUUCGGAGUUAGUGGCGGACGGGUGAGUAACACGUGGGAACGUGCCUUUUGGUUCGGAAUAACUCAGGGAAACUUGUGCUAAUACCGAAUGUGCCCUUCGGGGGAAAGAUUGAUCGCCAUUAGAGCGGCCCGCGUCUGGUUAGCUAGUUGGUGAGGUAACGGCUCACCAAGGCGACGAUCAGUAGCUGGUCUGAGAGGAUGACCAGCCACACUGGGACUGAGACACGGUCCAGACUCCUACGGGAGGCAGCAGUGGGGAAUCUUGCGAAAUGGGCGAAAGCCUGACGCAGCCAUGGCGCGUGAAUGAUGAAGGUCUUAGGAUUGUAAAGUUCUUUCACCGGGGACGAUAAUGACGGUACCCGGAGAAGAAGCCCCGGCUAACUUCGUG